This 118-nucleotide ribosomal RNA is filed under the name uncultured bacterium. RNAcentral describes it as "partial 16S ribosomal RNA". It matches the Rfam family "Bacterial small subunit ribosomal RNA", at positions 1384 to 1501 of the family's 1533-position model. The record is from RNAcentral.
UACACACCGCCCGUCACACCAUGGGAGUGGGUUGCACCAGAAGUAGCUAGUCUAACCGCAAGGGGGACGGUUACCACGGUGUGAUUCAUGACUGGGGUGAAGUCGUAACAAGGUUACC